UUUUCUUAUCUUAGUGGCGGACGGGUGAGUAACGCGUGGAUAACCUGGCCCAUACAGGGGGAUAGCAGCUGGAAACGGCUGGUAAUACCGCAUAAGCGCACGGUACGGCAUCGUACGGUGUGAAAAACUCCGGUGGUAUGGGAUGGGUCCGCGUCUGAUUAGGCAGUUGGCGGGGUAAAGGCCCACCAAACCGACGAUCAGUAGCCGGCCUGAGAGGGUGGGCGGCCACAUUGGGACUGAGACACGGCCCAAACUCCUACGGGAGGCAGCAG
Molecule: ribosomal RNA, 272 nt
Filed under: uncultured bacterium
Lineage: Bacteria
Description: partial 16S ribosomal RNA
Rfam family: Bacterial small subunit ribosomal RNA
Source: RNAcentral